Molecule: long non-coding RNA, 304 nt
Organism: Diorhabda carinulata
Lineage: Eukaryota; Metazoa; Arthropoda; Insecta; Coleoptera; Chrysomelidae
Exons: 2
Source: RefSeq, a predicted model, not a curated record
UUUUUUGUACACACUUUACUAUAUUUUAUACAAUCUUUAUUUUCACCGUCUCCUUAUAGGUACCAUACUUGUCUUUCCAUCUGAAAACUGACAGAAGUUCGUUUUUUGACACUUUGGUCAAAAUUAUAUAUUUUUUUGCUUUAGUGUAACUGUAAAAGUGGAAUAUAUACCCAAAUUUGUUAUCUAUGGCAAUUCCAUUACUUCUUGAGCCUCAUCGCAUAAAGGGAACAAACAUCUAAUUAGGUCUUUCCUGAUUGAAAAUUAACUUUUUAUAAGAAGAAACCUUUAUCAAAAUAAAGAAAAA